GUGCCAGCAGCCGCGGUAAUACGGGGGGAGCGAACGUUGUUCGGAAUUACUGGGCGUAAAGGGCGUGCAGGCGGCCUCGUAAGUGGAAUGUGAAAUGCCCUGGCUCAACCAGGGAACUGCAUCCCAGACUGCGAGGCUUGAGUAUAGGAGAGGAUGGGGGAAUUCCCGGUGUAGCGGUGAAAUGCAUUGAUAUCGGGAGGAACACCAGUGGCGAAGGCGCCCAUCUGGCCUAAUACUGACGCUCAGGCGCGAAAGCUAGGGGAGCAAACAGGAUUAGAUACCCCCGUAGUCC
RNAcentral lists this ribosomal RNA (292 nucleotides) under uncultured bacterium. RNAcentral's name for it is "partial 16S ribosomal RNA". It matches the Rfam family "Bacterial small subunit ribosomal RNA", at positions 505 to 796 of the family's 1533-position model. The record is from RNAcentral.